AUUCAAUGUGCAUAGAAAGUCAUCACAGCACUUGAAGUGUUCCUGCGCCGUCCGCUUGCGCUGCCCCGGGCUCACCGGUGUUCACAGACCGAAGUUCAAAGUUCUCAACACGCCAGUGGGCGGGGAUAGGAGGGACAACACAACAAUACUCAACUCUAAUUGGACUUGUGUCGCUGUCACUCAAACUGUAGGCCCAGCAUUUAGCUGUCUACUUUAGGUCGUCUAGUCGGACUUGAUUGAGAACUUGCUAUCAAGGCUCCUUGAAAGGCUCAGAAAAUCGUAACAUUCCAGGACUAUGUGGCUAGUGGGAGGAAAAGGACAGCUGUAUGCAAAACAUGCAAAACGUAAAUAACUGGUGUGACAGCCGCAACGUCUAACUUUUUAGAGUACCGGAAAUCCCCAACGGCAGAGCCAACAUGCUUUUCUGAAACACACUCCGUUAAGGAGCAUCCACAACAAACAGCUUGCUGCAAAAGCGGAUGUUGGCAAACUGAUUCAAGGCAAACACCAAUGGAACUACUGGUCUGCCUUCCACAUAAAACCCAAUGGAACUACUGGUCUGCCUUCCACAUUAAACCCAAUGGAACUACUGGUCUGCCUUCCACAUUAAACCCAAUGGAACUACUGGUCUGCCUUCCACAUAAAACCCAAUGGAACUACUGGUCUGCCUUCCACAUAAAACCCAAUGGAACUACUGGUCUGCCUUCCACAUUAAACCCAAUGGAACUACUGGUCUGCCUUCCACAUAAAACCCAAUGGAACUACACUGGCUCUGUCUUCCACAUAAAACCCAAUGGAACUACAUUGGCUCUGUCUUCCACAUUAAACCCAAUGCAACUACACUG
This is a long non-coding RNA of Esox lucius (northern pike), 845 nucleotides long. Lineage: Eukaryota; Metazoa; Chordata; Actinopteri; Esociformes; Esocidae. The record is from Ensembl.